Long non-coding RNA from Triticum aestivum (bread wheat), 630 nucleotides. RefSeq lists it as uncharacterized. The transcript is spliced from 3 exons. NCBI's taxonomy places the organism in Eukaryota, Viridiplantae, Streptophyta, Magnoliopsida, Poales, Poaceae. The record is from RefSeq and is a predicted model, not a curated record.
GAUACUUUUUGGACGUAAUUUGUAGUACCCAUAAGAUGCAGUGUCCAAAAAUAAUGCUACCUUAACCCUGCAGUUUAUGUUUAGUAUUCUACCUUAAAAUGUUUACUUUUGGCGCAAUAGCUUCUUUGGAUUUUUAUAUUGAACAUUGGACCAUUUUUACUCAACCUUUGGAUAAUUUGUUGCUGUUUAUGUUGUAGAACAACAUAUGUAACACUAUGGUUCCACUAACUUGUUAUAUUUUCCACUAAUGUCCUUCCUGCUUCCAUCUACAUUGCUGCCCCAUCACUCCUCUACCAAAUCCCAGCUUCAUGGUGGAUUCAUCUACAGGAAUCCACACCUACGGCAGUUCUCCUAGAAACCAUCUGCCCGAAGUUCAUCUCCCUACCACUCUAGUUUGUGACAGAACAGAGAAUUGUUACAGCUGAGAUCAUAGACAAAUCUUAUGUUGCAACAACAGGUUUGGAGGUUAUGCUGAGAAUUAAAAUGUCAAGGUUCAAAAAAUAGAUGCUUCAAGUAUUUAAUCUCUUCCAAAUACUCUUAUCAUGUUCCUUUCAGUGGUUAGAGCCCACAACUAAGAUAUGUUUGCUUCACACUCAUGCUUGUAAUACGCCUAUAUGGUUUCUUAUUUCA